UACAGAGGGUGCGAGCGUUAAUCGGAAUUACUGGGCGUAAAGCGUGCGUAGUCGGUUAUUUAAGUCGGAUGUGAAAGCCCCGGGCUCAACCUGGGAAUUGCAUUCGAGACUGAAUAGCUAGGGUACGGUAGAGGGAAGUGGAAUUUCCGGUGUAGCGGUGAAAUGCGUAGAUAUAGGAAGGAACACCAGUGGCGAAGGCGACCACCUGGACUGAUACUGACACUGAGGUGCGAAAGCGUGGGGAGCAAACAGG
This 253-nucleotide ribosomal RNA is filed under the name uncultured bacterium. Its description in RNAcentral is "partial 16S ribosomal RNA". It matches the Rfam family "Bacterial small subunit ribosomal RNA", at positions 524 to 776 of the family's 1533-position model. The record is from RNAcentral.